AUGGAGCUCCAGUUCCAGCAGCAGCAGCAGCAGCAAUGCCAGUACGAGGCGGCGGUGGGCAAGGCGGCGGCGGCGGCGGCGGCGAAGGGGAGGGGCAGCAGCAAGUGCAAGUUCGUCGGGGUGCGGCAGCGGCCGUCGGGGCGGUGGGUGGCGGAGAUCAAGGACACCACGCACAAGAUACGGGUGUGGCUCGGCACCUUCGAGACCGCCGAGGAGGCCGCGCGCGCCUACGACGAGGCCGCCUGCCUCCUCCGGGGCUCCAACACGCGGACCAACUUCGCCACCGCCGCCCCCGCCGCCGCCUCCUCGCCGCCGGACUCGCCGCUCGCCUCCAGGAUCCGCACCCUGCUCACCCACAAGAAGCUCAAGAAGAGCGCCUCGCCGCCGCCGCCGCGGGCGCCGUCCCAGCAGCCCGCUGUCACCAUCAGCCUCGCCACGGCAGCUAGUAAUGCCAGCGCCGGUAACAGCACCAGCAGCACCAGCUCGACCAUCAGCUUCGCCAUGAGCGCCGGUGGAGCCGCCGCCCACCACACUCCCGCUCCCGGCCUCUCUAACCACAUGACUUACCACCAGUGGAUCAACCACGGAGGCGAACAGCUCCAUCAGCACCUCGAGCAUCAGCCAUGGCCGGCAACGCUCAGCCCGGCUGCCCCGACGCUCGCCGCGCGACGCAACGUGGCCGAGUGCCGGGUGAUCGCGGACGCGGCGAGGCCGGAGAAGCAAGAGGACUCCGCGUCGCCCGGCGCCGCCAUGAGCGGGGUCGUCCAGCAGGAACAGGACGACGGGUUCGACAUCGGGAGCGACCCCUGCGACUCGCUGUGGGAUCUGCCGCCGAUCUGUCAGCUGUCUUGCAGGUCUCUCAUGUACUAG
This 870-nucleotide ribosomal RNA is filed under the name Triticum aestivum (bread wheat). RNAcentral's name for it is "partial small subunit ribosomal RNA". Lineage: Eukaryota; Viridiplantae; Streptophyta; Magnoliopsida; Poales; Poaceae. The record is from RNAcentral.